GAUGAACGCUGGCGGCGUGCCUAAUACAUGCAAGUCGAGCGAACGGACGAGAAGCUUGCUUUUCUGAUGUUAGCGGCGGACGGGUGAGUAACACGUGGAUAACCUACCUAUAAGACUGGGAUAACUUCGGGAAACCGGAUCUAAUACCGGAUAAUAUUUUGAACCGCAUGGUUCAAAAGUGAAAAACGGUCUUGCUGUCACUUAUAGAUGGAUCCGCGCUGCAUUAGCUAGUUGGUAAGGUAACGGCUUACCAAGGCAACGAUGCAUAGCCGACCUGAGAGGGUGAUCGGCCACACUGGAACUGAGACACGGUCCAGACUCCUACGGGAGGCAGCAGUAGGGAAUCUUCCGCAAUGGGCGAAAGCCUGACGGAGCAACGCCGCGUGAGUGAUGAAGGUCUUCGGAUCGUAAAACUCUGUUAUUAGGGAAGAACAUAUGUGUAAGUAACUGUGCACAUCUUGACGGUACCUAAUCAGAAAGCAACGGCUAACUACGUG
Molecule: ribosomal RNA, 497 nt
Filed under: uncultured bacterium
Lineage: Bacteria
Description: partial 16S ribosomal RNA
Rfam family: Bacterial small subunit ribosomal RNA
Source: RNAcentral